RNAcentral lists this ribosomal RNA (253 nucleotides) under uncultured bacterium. RNAcentral's name for it is "partial 16S ribosomal RNA". It matches the Rfam family "Bacterial small subunit ribosomal RNA", at positions 524 to 776 of the family's 1533-position model. The record is from RNAcentral.
UACGUAGGUGGCAAGCGUUGUCCGGAAUUACUGGGCGUAAAGGGCGCGUAGGCGGCCUGCUAAGUCGAACGUGAAAUCCCCGGGCUCAACCCGGGAACUGCGUCCGAUACUGGCUGGCUUGAAUCCGGGAGAGGGAUGCAGAAUUCCAGGUGUAGCGGUGAAAUGCGUAGAUAUCUGGAGGAAUACCGGUGGCGAAGGCGGCGUCCUGGACCGGCAUUGACGCUGAGGAGCGAAAGCCAGGGGAGCAAACGGG